UACGUAGGGAGCAAGCGUUGUCCGGAAUUACUGGGCGUAAAGAGCUCGUAGGUGGUUUGUCGCGUUGUUCGUGAAAACUCACAGCUUAACUGUGGGCGUGCGGGCGAUACGGGCAGACUGGAGUACUGCAGGGGAGACUGGAAUUCCUGGUGUAGCGGUGGAAUGCGCAGAUAUCAGGAGGAACACCGGUGGCGAAGGCGGGUCUCUGGGCAGUAACUGACGCUGAGGAGCGAAAGCGUGGGGAGCGAACAGG
RNAcentral lists this ribosomal RNA (253 nucleotides) under uncultured bacterium. RNAcentral's name for it is "partial 16S ribosomal RNA". It matches the Rfam family "Bacterial small subunit ribosomal RNA", at positions 524 to 776 of the family's 1533-position model. The record is from RNAcentral.